CGGAGAGGGAGCCUGAGAAACGGCUACCACAUCCAAGGAUGGCAGCAGGCGCGCAAAUUACCCAAUCCCGACACGGGGAGGUAGUGACAAUAAAUAACAAUACGGGGUUCUUUAGGAUCUCGUAAUUGGAAUGAGUACAAUUUAAAUCUCUUAACGAGGAACAAUUGGAGGGCAAGUCUGGUGCCAGCAGCCGCGGUAAUUCCAGCUCCAAUAGCGUAUAUUAAAGUUGUUGCAGUUAAAAAGCUCGUAGUUGAAUUUCGGGGUUAGUAGGUUGGUCAUGCCUCUGGUAUGUACUGGUCUCACUGAUUCCUCCUUCCUUAUGAACCGUAAUGCCAUUAAUUUGGUGUUGCGGGGAAUUUGGACUGUUACUUUGAAAAAAUUAGAGUGUUUAAAGCAAGCUAACGCUUGAAUACAUUNNNAUGGAAUAAUGAAAUAGGACGUUCGAUCUUAUUUUGUUGGUUUCUAGGAUUGACGUAAUGAUUAAUAGGGAUAGUUGGGGGCAUUAGUAUUCAAUUGUCAGAGGUGAAAUUCUUGGAUUUAUUGAAGACUAACUACUGCGAAAGCAUUUGCCAAGGAUGUUUUCAUUAAUCAAGAACGAAAGUUAGGGGAUCGAAGACGAUCNNNUACCGUCGUAGUCUUAACCAUAAACUAUGCCGACUAGGGAUCGGAUGAUGUUAAUUUUUUAAUGACUCAUUCGGCGCCUUACGGGAAA
Molecule: ribosomal RNA, 712 nt
Filed under: uncultured fungus
Lineage: Eukaryota; Fungi
Description: SSU rRNA
Rfam family: Eukaryotic small subunit ribosomal RNA
Source: RNAcentral